This 812-nucleotide small RNA is filed under the name Pan troglodytes (chimpanzee). RNAcentral's name for it is "retained intron". The record is from RNAcentral. Lineage: Eukaryota; Metazoa; Chordata; Mammalia; Primates; Hominidae.
GCAGCAUAGAACUGAUUGUGGUCCUCCGAUGCAUUUCUGGUGUCGAGAACUUCCUUUCUCAACCUCCCCUUCCCCCAUAGCCAUCCCCACAAGCUGUCCCAUCAAGGAAUAUUUCAGGUGUAAACUGAAUAUGCCACGAGGCCUCCUCUUCAUGAAGUGCUUGGUUGGCCUACGUAUGGGUGGCAGGCUGGACAGAGCUGAAUCGUCUUUCUGGGUCACCCUGUAACUCAAGUCCCCUUUCCCAUUCUCUCCCAACGCUACUUAUCCGCAGGAAUUGGAUGCCGGCUGGCCCCCCUGACAGUUCCUGGCCUAGGGGCUGUCAUGGCAGAGGGAAGCCACCAAGGGCCCUGUGCUAAUCACGAGUCUUUCCUGUUCAGAGCAGUGAGGCCUGAGACCCUCAACAGUGCUGUGUGUACAGAAGGCCCCCAGAAUCCACACAAAGGGGCCGCCUGAAACCUAGAGCAUUUGUGAAGGAGGAAAAUGGAAGGAACAACUGGAUGUUGUAAAUGUUUCUCAUCUGGCCUUAAAAUCCAUGAAAGCUGGAAAAUCACAAGGCAUCUGUGCACAUACUGGUGGAUUUUAAUGAGAGUCCUGUGUUUGGAGCACCAGAAAUAAACCAGCUUCAGAAGCAAAGAUCUGAACGUCUAUGACACUCUUUCGAGCUGACACAGUGAAGAACAUGGAAGGAGAACUCACCCAGUCUGCCAGGGUCACAGAUGAUCAUACUCAAGAUCUUCCUGGGGAGUCAAUGGCAAAUUUCACUGGGCUAUUUUACAGAUGAAGAAGGAACAUAAAGAAGGUUCUGGGACCCU